This 699-nucleotide small RNA is filed under the name Pan troglodytes (chimpanzee). RNAcentral describes it as "retained intron". Lineage: Eukaryota; Metazoa; Chordata; Mammalia; Primates; Hominidae. The record is from RNAcentral.
UCACUCAAAUCUGUAGCAGCAUAUGGACCCACAAAUGGAGGCCAAAGCAGGCCCUCAAUUGGACACUUUGGCAACCCUGAAGAGACUUCUUCCCUUCAGACUUACUGUUUUAGUAUGUUCCAGAGAAGGGAGUGGCGUUCUUCUUGGGGAAUUCAGGAAGAGGGAGACACGCUGUUACUCUAUCCAUUAAAUAAAGCUUUGAUGUUCACAGCCCCCCGCCACCACUCAGAAAAAAAAAAUAAUUGCCUUGCUCUCUAAAACCGACUUCUGCCUUUUAUUGGACAGGAACAAGCUGAAAGCUGGAUACCUAAUGUCAGUGGAGUCUUCUGAGUGUUUCCUGGAAGAAGUCGGGUCCCAGGCUCUAGUUGCUGGUUCUUACGUGCCACCAUCCACAGUCCUUCAGCAGAUUGAUUCAGUGGCUAAUGCUGAUAUCAUAAAUGCUGCAAAGAAGUUUGUUUCUGGCCAGAAGUCGAUGGCAGCAAGUGGAAAUUUGGGACAUACACCUUUUGUUGAUGAGUUGUAAUACUGAUGCACACAUUACAGGAGAGAGCUGAACAUUCUCUCAGCCCAGAGCAGCAAACACAUGAAAGUCAGAAGUCUCUAAUAUAUCAUUUGUCUUUUUUCCAGUGAGGUAAAAUAAGGCAUAAAUGCAGGUAAUUAUUCCCAGCUGACCUAAAGUCAAUAAAACAUUCUGUUUAA